This 253-nucleotide ribosomal RNA is filed under the name uncultured bacterium. RNAcentral describes it as "partial 16S ribosomal RNA". It matches the Rfam family "Bacterial small subunit ribosomal RNA", at positions 524 to 776 of the family's 1533-position model. The record is from RNAcentral.
UACGUAGGUGGCGAGCGUUGUCCGGAUUUACUGGGCGUAAAGCGCGCGCAGGCGGUUCGUUAAGUCUGGUGUGAAAGCUCCCGGCUCAACUGGGAGAGGUCAUCGGAUACUGGCGGACUCGAGGGAUGCAGAGGAAGGUGGAAUUCCCGGUGUAGUGGUGAAAUGCGUAGAGAUCGGGAGGAACACCAGUGGCGAAGGCGGCCUUCUGGGCAUUUCCUGACGCUGAGGCGCGAAAGCGUGGGGAGCGAACCGG